CCCGCCACAUUAUUUAAGUAUGUGCCUGUCCCAAGUCAGGAGCCUGUAAUUCAGUGGUUGUCGUUUGUUUAUGUGUUACAUAUUUGUUUUUCGUUCAUUUGUUUUACAUAAAUAAGGCCGUUAGUUUUCUCGUUUGAAUUGUUUUACACUAUCUUAUCGGGGCCUUUUAUAGCUCACUAUGCGGUAUGGGCUUUGCUCAUUAUUUAAGGCCGUACG
RNAcentral lists this long non-coding RNA (216 nucleotides) under Mytilus galloprovincialis (Mediterranean mussel). Lineage: Eukaryota; Metazoa; Mollusca; Bivalvia; Mytilida; Mytilidae. The record is from RNAcentral.